UGUGUUGUUUUUACUCUCAAAUGUAAGUCGCUUGGGAUAAAAGUGUCUGCUAAAUGACUGUAGAAUAGAAUGAAAGCAAAAGUGAACUCACUUAUCAUGUCAUUUUUGUUAUUUCUGGUUCUUUCUACAGCGAAGCGGCUAAAGAAAGGCAUGGCGACAGCCAAACAGAGACUGGGAAAGAUUUUAAAGAUCCAUCGAAAUGGAAAGCUCCUUCUGUAGCAUGAGGUGGACUGUUGAGGGACUGAGGAUGGACGACGAGCUGGGUCGGACCCCAGACUCAUUGCCCUGCUCACCGAGAAAUGCCGACAACAGGAAAAAACUGAAACAAGAUGGAGGAAGAAAAAAAUCAUGCAUUUCUCAAUUUGUAAGAAGAACAUCACUCAAAUAGGUUUUUGCCUCGACUUAUACUUUAUAACUUUCAGAUAUUAAAGUGUACAGAAGCUAUUCUAAAUAUUUUUUAAGAAAACACGUCUCAUUUUCCUACAGCUGUCAGUUUAUCAGGGGUUGCUCCAACAUGAAGUAGAAAUACAUGGCAGUCAUUCCAAGACAUGUGAAAGUAUCCCCGCUUUGCAUGGAUUCAGUUGCAUGUGCGCUUAGGUGGGGUUUUUGGGAGGGGGGUGGGUCUAUGGAUGCAGCUUAUCUUUACCAUACUGAGACAAAAUGGGAAAACAUUCCUCCUUCCGGGGUAAAAGAAAAUGUUUGCAGAGCACUAUCAGUAUAUUUAUUUAUUCUUCUCUUAGUCAGUGGAUACGAAAAAAAGGAGCAAACUGUAAAGCACAAGGUGGUUCACAGGUGGUUCACAUGUGGUUCACAGGCGUUUCACAGGUAAUUCACAGGUGGUUCGCAGGUGAUUCACAUGUGGUUCACAGGCGGUUCACAGGUAAUUCACAGGUGGCUCACAGUGAUUCACAGGUGGUUCACAUGUGGUUCAUAGGCGGUUCACAGGUAAUUCACAGGUGGCUCACAGUGAUUCACAGGUGGUUCACAUGUGGUUCACAGGCGGUUCACAGGUGGUUCACAUGUGGUUCACAGGCGGUUCACAGGUAAUUCACAGGUGGUUCACAUGUGGUUCACAUGUGGUUCACAGGCGGUUCACAGGUAAUUCACAGGUGGUUCGCAGGUGAUUCACAGGUGGCUCACAAAUGAUUCAUAGGUGGUCACAUGCGGUCUACAGGUGGUGAGGUUGGCCAGUUUAAAUUUGAGACAAGAGGCCGGUUCACCAGGAAGGGACAGGAAAACCCAGAUUGUGACACUACAUCGGACCUGGAAUGAUAAGCGUCAUCCGUGGCAGGUGGGCGGUUUCGAGGGGAUUCUUUCGCUCUCCUUUUGCUUUCGCAGGCAGCACCAACAAUCCAAACGAGCCAAACUCACAUCUGCGUUUUUACAGCUUAUAUAGAAUGUAGCUUGUAAAUAGCCUUUUAAUGUUUUUUAUCCUUUCCCCUUCAGGCUUAAUUCUACAUUUUUACCAGUUUUGCUAAUUAUGAAUAAAUGAAUAAAAGUAUAUAUAUGUAUAUGAAUAUAUGUUAUAUUCCUGAUUUUUAAUCUUUAUUUCAUUUUAUAGCAGAGACUUCAGUUUUUUAAUGUUAGUUUUAACGGUGCUGCCUGGAAAACAAGAGAAGUCAACAUUUAUCGUCACAUGGCCUUACAUACACAAAGCUCAUUGUAUUGUGAUUUUGUUUGAAUGAGAGACAAAACUGUAUAAAAAAACUAAAGUAAAACAAAAGAAAGUUUCUAUGACCAGCCUCUUGUUGGACUUGUAGUAUCCUGAAGGGUUUGGAGGUAUUUUAUUAGCACCUUGUGAAGUGUUUCUGUGUCAGUGAUGUAAUUUAUUAAUGUUUGUAGCUUUUUUAUACUUGUACAAUUCUUAAAAGUUUUGCUUUUGAAUAUGUCAUCAAGUUGUGAAAGUACCCUUUAAUUUUUUAUUUUUUUUUAAUUGUGUUUUUUUUUUUUUGGAGGGGGGGGUGCAUUUUGUUUUGUUUUGUUUGUUUUGGGGGGGGGCUCCAAACUUCAUGAACACACUUGGAAAAAAGACAAUGAUCUCCAUCAUGUCACAUUUCUGACAUUCUCGAACGUUUUCCGUCAUCCACUCAGAUCAAACUCCCGUCUGUGGGACAUGUUUUCAGGUUUCAUUUGUACAGUCCUUGCGUUGCUUUGUCGUGUUUUUUUUGUAUGUCCAACCAUUAAAUGCAUCCACUGUGCCACAACAGUGAGUCCUGCCUGUUGUAGCUGUCUUCCCUUACUGUUAUUUACAGCAUUAGUAAAUAUUUACAAUCUUUUUUGACCUGAAUCUAUAUUUUUAUGUAUUUAGAUGAUUCUGUUGGCGGUCAUGCUUCACUUUUUUAAGACACGGAGAAAACUCGAGGAACAAACAUAUUGUUGUUGAAUGAUAUGAUUGUUCGCCUUGUUUACUUUUGCAAUACGGUUACUGUGGAAAAAAUCCUCCUUUGUAAUGUGUUCCACUCCCACUUGCAAUGUUACAGCUUCUGUGGUGACAACUAAAAAUGUUUUUUUCCUGCUUCAUGUUGUCUUGCUUUGAAUCCAGCACCGCAUGAAAAAACAGAAAUUCUCCCGAGUUAUUAGUUAGAAAUACCACAAAUUUAACACCAUUAAAACUGUUUUUGGAA
Molecule: long non-coding RNA, 2624 nt
Organism: Melanotaenia boesemani (Boeseman's rainbowfish)
Lineage: Eukaryota; Metazoa; Chordata; Actinopteri; Atheriniformes; Melanotaeniidae
Exons: 2
Source: RefSeq, a predicted model, not a curated record